UGAGGAAUAUUGGUCAAUGGGCGCAAGCCUGAACCAGCCAUCCCGCGUGCAGGAAGACGGCCCUAUGGGUUGUAAACUGCUUUUCCAGGGGGAGAAUUUUUCUGUCGUGACAGGAAUUGACGGUACCCUGGGAAUAAGCAUCGGCUAACUCCGUGCCAGCAGCCGCGGUAAUACGGAGGAUGCGAGCGUUAUCCGGAUUUAUUGGGUUUAAAGGGAGCGUAGGCGGAUUGAUAAGUCAGUGGUGAAAACCUGCAGCUUAACUGUAGACUUGCCGUUGAUACUGUCAGUCUUGAGUGUGGUCAAGGUAGGCGGAAUGUGUAAUGUAGCGGUGAAAUGCUUAGAUAUUACACAGAACACCGAUUGCGAAGGCAGCUUACUGGGCCAUUACUGACGCUGAUGCACGAAAGCGUGGGGA
Molecule: ribosomal RNA, 415 nt
Filed under: uncultured bacterium
Lineage: Bacteria
Description: bacterial SSU rRNA
Rfam family: Bacterial small subunit ribosomal RNA
Source: RNAcentral